RNAcentral lists this ribosomal RNA (253 nucleotides) under uncultured bacterium. Its description in RNAcentral is "partial 16S ribosomal RNA". It matches the Rfam family "Bacterial small subunit ribosomal RNA", at positions 524 to 776 of the family's 1533-position model. The record is from RNAcentral.
GACGAACCGUGCUAACGUUAUUCGGAAUCACUGGGCUUAAAGGGCGCGUAGGCGGGCCGCCAAGUCAGAGGUGAAAGCCUCCAGCUCAACUGGAGAAGUGCCCCUGAUACUGGCGGCCUCGAGGGAGAUAGGGGCGUGCGGAACUUCCGGUGGAGCGGUGAAAUGCGUAGAUAUCGGAAGGAACACCGGUGGCGAAAGCGGCGCGCUGGAUCUCUUCUGACGCUGAGGCGCGAAAGCCAGGGGAGCGAACGGG